GGAAGCCAAAAGAUUGGACACCCAUAUUCUAGACCUAUAAGUAGACUCCAGUCCCGCAAUCCCCUAAGGAUUCAAGAUGGAUUGGCAUCAAAGUUCACUUCUUUAACAAAAGUGCUUUAUGACCUUAAUAAAAUAUUAGAGAAUGGUAGGAUCCAUGGAAGCCCUUUACAAAAACUUGUGAUAGAAAGUUUUGAUGAUAAGCAGACUUUGCAACAACUGGAAUUGCAAAAUGACCCAAUUUUACAAAGCUUCCAGAAUGCAGUUAGUGAAACAAAGAUGAAGAUAUCAGUAUCCCAGAGAGUGAAGAACAGGAGCAUGAAGAGGAUGGUUCAGAGACAGAGGCUGAUGGCCAGGAGGACCUAGAAGAUUUAGAGGAGGAGGAGGAAGUGUCAGAUAUGGGUGGUGACAAUCCUGAAGUGAGUGAGAGAGCAAACUCAAGCAAAUUCGAUCCGACGAAAAGCCCAGUUCUCAGUGAUGAGGAUUCUGACCUUGACUUUCAUAUCAACAAAUUGGAACAGCAGAGCAAGGUGCGAAACAAAGGACACGGGAAACCAAGAGAAAAGUCCAUAGCAGACGAGAAAUUCUUCCAACUCUCUGAAAUGGAGGCCUAUUUAGAAAACAGAAAAAGAAGAGGAACGAAAAGAUGUCAGGUAAAAGUUCCAGAAAUGUGAAGGACAAAGACUUUUUUUGAUCCAGUUGAAAGUGAUGAAGACAUAGCAAGUGAUGAUGAUGAUGAUCUGGGUUCAAACAAGCUGAUGAAAUUGCUGAAGAAGCAGCAGAAGAACUAAGCAUUUCUGAAAUCAUGUCUCUUCUGACAAAGCUGUCCCGACAGCCUCUUCUUGUAACUGUUUUGACUGCUCCGGAGGAUGCCGCCUAUGUCUUUAAGGUGCUCCACAGAUUUUGAUGAAUGAAAAAAAUUACACCUUUAGAAAAAGAGUUGUUAUAAAAAAGCCUUGGUUGCGUCUGGGGGAAGUGACAGCACAGAAGAGACCAGAGAAUAGCCUGCUGGAGGAGACCCUGCACUUUGACCAUGCUGUCCGGAUGGUGCCUGUGAUUACAGAGGAAAUACCUUUCAACUGGAAGAUAUCAUUAAACACAGGAAAAGAGAUCAG
This 1112-nucleotide long non-coding RNA is filed under the name Homo sapiens (human). RNAcentral describes it as "LHRI_LNC2108.3". The record is from RNAcentral. Lineage: Eukaryota; Metazoa; Chordata; Mammalia; Primates; Hominidae.